CUGAAGGAGCGUUGUUUGGCUCCUUGCUUAAGGAUAGAGGCAGGUGAGGAAUAAGCUGAUCAUGUAUUAAUGGAGUACUUUGGGAUUGCUUUCACAGGCGCCCUGGAAAGGCUGUUGCAGAUGGGGCUAAGAACAAUUUUUUAAAAGAUGAAAAAAUCCUCUUGAUGGACAUUUGACAUGAAGAGAGCAGAAGAGUGA
This 198-nucleotide long non-coding RNA is filed under the name Dasypus novemcinctus (nine-banded armadillo). RNAcentral describes it as "lncRNA (ENSDNOG00000052621.1)". The record is from RNAcentral. Lineage: Eukaryota; Metazoa; Chordata; Mammalia; Cingulata; Dasypodidae.